RNAcentral lists this ribosomal RNA (253 nucleotides) under uncultured bacterium. Its description in RNAcentral is "partial 16S ribosomal RNA". It matches the Rfam family "Bacterial small subunit ribosomal RNA", at positions 524 to 776 of the family's 1533-position model. The record is from RNAcentral.
UACGUAGGGACCAAGCGUUGUUCGGAAUUACUGGGCGUAAAGGGCUCGUAGGCGGCCAACUAAGUCAGACGUGAAAUCCCUCGGCUUAACCGGGGAACUGCGUCUGAUACUGGAUGGCUUGAGUUCGGGAGAGGGAUGCGGAAUUCCAGGUGUAGCGGUGAAAUGCGUAGAUAUCUGGAGGAACACCGGUGGCGAAGGCGGCAUCCUGGACCGAUACUGACGCUGAGGAGCGAAAGCCAGGGGAGCAAACGGG